Non-coding RNA from Pelobates cultripes (western spadefoot toad), 218 nucleotides. The record is from the annotation of a GenBank genome assembly. Lineage: Eukaryota; Metazoa; Chordata; Amphibia; Anura; Pelobatidae.
AAAGCUUUCUUACACAUUCUGUCUGUAGCAUGUGAAGUAACCAUCCUUCAGUGUGGAAAAACAUGCCAUAUCAACUUUUGUGGAUGCACCACAAGGCAGGCAGGUAGAGUUGAGCGGACACCUGGAUGUUCGGGUUCACCAAGUUCGGCUGAACUUCAUCAAAAAGUUCGAGUUCGGGCUCGAACUUGACCCGAACUUGACUCUGAACCCGAACCCCA